This 133-nucleotide non-coding RNA is filed under the name Candidatus Zhuqueibacterota. Its description in RNAcentral is "Candidate division SAM-I sequence". It matches the Rfam family "SAM riboswitch aptamer (S box leader)". Rfam says of the family: The SAM riboswitch is found upstream of a number of genes which code for proteins involved in methionine or cysteine biosynthesis in Gram-positive bacteria. The record is from RNAcentral. Lineage: Bacteria; Pseudomonadati.
AGUUUAUUAAGAGCGGCGGUUAGAGGCCUGGCUCGUUGACCCGCCCAGCAACUUGUUUGCGAGGCGUUGGAGAAACCCUCCGACAAUCUUGGGAUAAAGUGCUAAAUCCAGCCCCGCUUGGGGAAGAUAAAUU